AGUGAACGCUGGCGGUAGGCCUAACACAUGCAAGUCGAACGGCAGCACAGUAAGAGCUUGCUCUUACGGGUGGCGAGUGGCGGACGGGUGAGGAAUACAUCGGAAUCUACUUUUUCGUGGGGGAUAACGUAGGGAAACUUACGCUAAUACCGCAUACGACCUACGGGUGAAAGCAGGGGAUCUUCGGACCUUGCGCGAUUGAAUGAGCCGAUGUCGGAUUAGCUAGUUGGCGGGGUAAAGGCCCACCAAGGCGACGAUCCGUAGCUGGUCUGAGAGGAUGAUCAGCCACACUGGAACUGAGACACGGUCCAGACUCCUACGGGAGGCAGCAGUGGGGAAUAUUGGACAAUGGGCGCAAGCCUGAUCCAGCCAUACCGCGUGGGUGAAGAAGGCCUUCGGGUUGUAAAGCCCUUUUGUUGGAAAAGAAAGGCAGCAGGUUAAUACCCCGCUGUUCUGACGGUACCCAAAGAAUAAGCACCGGCUAACUUCGUG
RNAcentral lists this ribosomal RNA (492 nucleotides) under uncultured bacterium. RNAcentral's name for it is "partial 16S ribosomal RNA". It matches the Rfam family "Bacterial small subunit ribosomal RNA", at positions 29 to 507 of the family's 1533-position model. The record is from RNAcentral.